This 547-nucleotide ribosomal RNA is filed under the name uncultured bacterium. RNAcentral describes it as "partial 16S ribosomal RNA". It matches the Rfam family "Bacterial small subunit ribosomal RNA", at positions 355 to 895 of the family's 1533-position model. The record is from RNAcentral.
UGGGGAAUUUUGGACAAUGGGCGAAAGCCUGAUCCAGCAAUGCCGCGUGUGUGAAGAAGGCCUUCGGGUUGUAAAGCACUUUUGUCCGGAAAGAAAUCCUUGGCUCUAAUACAGUCGGGGGAUGACGGUACCGGAAGAAUAAGCACCGGCUAACUACGUGCCAGCAGCCGCGGUAAUACGUAGGGUGCAAGCGUUAAUCGGAAUUACUGGGCGUAAAGCGUGCGCAGGCGGUUUGCUAAGACCGAUGUGAAAUCCCCGGGCUCAACCUGGGAACUGCAUUGGUGACUGGCAGGCUAGAGCAUGGCAGAGGGGGGUAGAAUUCCACGUGUAGCAGUGAAAUGCGUAGAGAUGUGGAGGAAUACCGAUGGCGAAGGCAGCCCCCUGGGCCAAUACUGACGCUCAUGCACGAAAGCGUGGGGAGCAAACAGGAUUAGAUACCCUGGUAGUCCACGCCCUAAACGAUGUCAACUAGUUGUUGGGGAUUCAUUUCCUUAGUAACGUAGCUAACGCGUGAAGUUGACCGCCUGGGGAGUACGGUCGCAAGAUU